AUUGAACGCUGGCGGCAUGCCUUACACAUGCAAGUCGAACGGCAGCACGGGAGCUUGCUCCUGGUGGCGAGUGGCGAACGGGUGAGUAAUACAUCGGAACGUACCCUGAAGUGGGGGAUAACGUAGCGAAAGUUACGCUAAUACCGCAUAUUCUGUGAGCAGGAAAGAGGGGGAUCGCAAGACCUCUUGCUUUAGGAGCGGCCGAUGUCGGAUUAGCUAGUUGGUGAGGUAAAGGCUCACCAAGGCGACGAUCCGUAGCGGGUCUGAGAGGAUGAUCCGCCACACUGGGACUGAGACACGGCCCAGACUCCUACGGGAGGCAGCAGUGGGGAAUUUUGGACAAUGGGCGCAAGCCUGAUCCAGCCAUGCCGCGUGAGUGAAGAAGGCCUUCGGG
This 394-nucleotide ribosomal RNA is filed under the name uncultured bacterium. Its description in RNAcentral is "bacterial SSU rRNA". It matches the Rfam family "Bacterial small subunit ribosomal RNA", at positions 30 to 422 of the family's 1533-position model. The record is from RNAcentral.